This 1492-nucleotide long non-coding RNA is filed under the name Manihot esculenta (cassava). RNAcentral's name for it is "long non-coding RNA (MESC_LNC010677)". The record is from RNAcentral. Lineage: Eukaryota; Viridiplantae; Streptophyta; Magnoliopsida; Malpighiales; Euphorbiaceae.
CGGCAGAUAUAAGCAAUGGAAGUUGGGUGAAGUGAUAAAGCUGGGCAUAUCCAUCAAAUAUGAUUGUAGUUCUCUUGAGAAAAGUACCAGCAACCUUCCUUGAUUUUACAGAAAAUACUUUUUUAGAGAAGUAUUUUCCAUUUUUCAGGUUCUUGCAUGUAUGGUCUUGUGUUGUUUCUUUUGACUUUCUCCUAACUUGUGUACGGCGGUGAUCGCGAAACACUCUCCUCUUGUUGGCAUCGAUCAUAUUUGAAGAUAGGCUAUUUUGGUCCGGCGUUGUACUUGGAGGUGAUUGUGGACGUGCUCUCCUUUCUUGAUCUCACACCAUCCGUUUAAGCGUGUGCUUUCAUUGCCUCCAACUCUGGUUCUUCGUUAAAUCAGGCUUUCACGAGCGAUGACCAAAGAGACGAGAGUUGGGGGUAACGCUUCUAGAGUUCGCCUUUUGGGUCAAGAUUUGGGUCAUUUGGCUAUUAAAGUCUUUUAUGUCGUUAAUGGGUUAGUUUCUAUUUAUGGGCCUUGACACCCAUAAAAAUUAUGAAAAAAUAAUAAAAUAAAAUAUAUUUAAAAUAAAUAUAAUUAAAAUUUUAAUAAAAAAUUAUUUUUUUAAAUGGAUAAAAAAAAUUCAUAAAAAAAUAAAAAAAAUAAAAAUUACAAAAAAUAUGGAAUACUUAAAAACUAAGGAAGAUGUGUUAAUUAACACAUCUUAUGCACAUGAAUCUCAGAUAAUUUAUAUUCAUCACAAGUUUAAAUUAUUAACCAAAUCUGAAACGAACAGUAUAACUUCACCGGCACUGUGUUAAAGACUUGUAGUGCUGCAUUCACACAAUAAGAUUUAUGAUCAUCAACAACUCAAGUUUAAUUCUUUUAAAUAUCGAUUUAACCAUAACUUUAACAGUCAAAUUUCAACCAAAAAAAAUCUAAAAAAUGUUACUGUGUCCAAUAAAAAUAAAACACUCAAAAAGACAAUUGUUUAAUUUUUCUCUGGAAUCAAACACCACAUCGAAAAAGACUUUUGUAGGAAAACAAGAAAGGAGUCAGAAAUCUCGUGUGGAAAGUGCCGCUCAUUGCGCCAGUCUUACGAGAGAUUGGAGCUGCGUUAGCACAAGAGUUUCAUCACUCUCUCUGAGAAUCUGAGUAAUCCACCAAGAGAACAACUUAACAAAUCCAUUGAAAACACCCGGUGGCUCAAAUCCGAAGAAUGAAAGAACGAAAAAGAAGAAAGACAAUUCAAGAGAGAGAGAGAGAGAGAGAGAGAGAGAAAGAAGGAUCGCGAUCUCUUCCGGCUCAGCGACGGUGCGAGGCGAAGCUGAAGUUGGCGAUUUAUAGGGCUCGUGAGUCUUGCCUAUGGCUUAUAUAGUGGGAGCUGGCUAUCUUGUGCUAGGUUUGCCCUAAUUCACAACUGAAAAUUGAUGUUAAAACGGUUUGUCGUUUAAAUGUGCUUUCUUAAAUAACCAAUAAUAACAUUUUAUUUAUGCAAAUGCGUAUAUCAAAU